AGUUCCAUGGUGUAAUGGUUAGCAACUCUGGACUCUGAAUCCAGCGAUCUGAGUUCAAAUCUCGGGUAGAACCU
Molecule: non-coding RNA, 74 nt
Organism: Cordylochernes scorpioides
Lineage: Eukaryota; Metazoa; Arthropoda; Arachnida; Pseudoscorpiones; Chernetidae
Source: the annotation of a GenBank genome assembly